GCACCGGUAGCUCAGUGGAUUAGAGCACUUGUCUUCGGAACAAGGGGUCGUGGGUUCGAAUCCCUCCCGGUGUACCA
RNAcentral lists this transfer RNA (77 nucleotides) under Candidatus Saccharimonadota bacterium. Its description in RNAcentral is "tRNA-Arg". It matches the Rfam family "tRNA". From Rfam's summary of the family: Transfer RNA (tRNA) molecules are approximately 80 nucleotides in length. Their secondary structure includes four short double-helical elements and three loops (D, anti-codon, and T loops). The record is from RNAcentral. RNAcentral also lists the same sequence under 1 other name. Lineage: Bacteria; Candidatus Saccharimonadota.